GGGGAUGAAAGGCUUCGAUAAGGAAUUGAUAUAAAAUAGGCAAGUCGAGCAAUGUAGUCAGCUCGCUAAACUGUCUACAACCGAAAUAGGUGCCAACUUAUUUCAAAAACCUGCAUUAGCUUACGCUUAAUGCCAUCUGACCGGCUAAUUCUCGAUAGGCCGGAGCCAGGUGUCAAAUCUGUCGAGAUAGAUAGUUUAUUCAAGGACCUAGAAAGACUAUCGAACAAAGACAGGUCCGAGGUAAAAAGAUUUCGCUCGAUUAAAACUUUUUAUCCCUAAAUAAAAUCGAGCUAAACUUGUAGAACUGUUUUAUAAAAAUUCUUUAGACGCGGGUUCGAUUCCCACCAUCUCCACUC
Molecule: transfer-messenger RNA, 356 nt
Filed under: Candidatus Nealsoniibacteriota bacterium
Lineage: Bacteria; Candidatus Nealsoniibacteriota
Also listed under: 1 other name
Rfam family: transfer-messenger RNA
About the family: Bacterial tmRNA, also known as 10Sa RNA or SsrA, is named for its dual tRNA and mRNA-like properties. Its role is to liberate the mRNA from a stalled ribosome.
Source: RNAcentral